This 332-nucleotide ribosomal RNA is filed under the name uncultured eukaryote. RNAcentral describes it as "partial 18S ribosomal RNA". It matches the Rfam family "Eukaryotic small subunit ribosomal RNA", at positions 1470 to 1796 of the family's 1831-position model. The record is from RNAcentral.
CCCUUAGAUGUUCUGGGCCGCACGUGCGCUACACUGACGGAGGCAGCGAGCAUGUCCUUCGCCGAGAGGUGUGGGGAAUCUUGUGAGUCUCCGUCGUGCUGGGGAUAGAUGGUUGCAAUUGUCGAUCUUGAACGAGGAAUUCCUAGUAAGCGCGAGUCAUCAGCUCGCGCUGAUUACGUCCCUGCCCUUUGUACACACCGCCCGUCGCUACUACCGAUUGGAUGGUUUAGCGAGAACUUUGGACCGGAGCUCGGGUGGUCAGCAAUGGCCGCCCGAGACAUACUGGGAAAUCGCUCCAGCUUGAUCAUCGAGAGGAAGUAAAAGUCGUAACA